GUUGCACGUGGGGGCAAAAGCGGGAUUGGCCGGCCGAAAGUCUCUGAAGCAGUGAGAACCGUCCUGACCAACAGAGAUCCCUUGUCUUCUCCCCCAGGAAAGGCAGGCAGCCUCACUCCUGAGCAGGACGCAGGUGCGACGGGCCGAAGAGGCAAAGUGGAGACCUGAGACUUGGGGACGCCAGGCUCGGCUGAAGGCAGAGCCACAGUGCAAACAAGGAAUCCAGUAGCAGUCUGCGUGCUGACCAUCCGUCCUGGGCUUCCCUCCCCCACUGCAGUGGCACCACUCAAUCAGGAGGCUCUUCAGCCAGCGCCUGUCCCCUCUGCCUGAUAACGGGGGACCUGGCUUCGGGGUCAGUUGUUAGGUUCUACUUUCUUUGCCUGGAGACCCGGGGGCCUAGAGAUUAUGGCCGCACUGCCACAUGAAAACUGAACGAGAAGUCGUGCAGACAUUUCUUCCUGGAUGGCACACAGACCUUGAAAACUUCAAUUCCAUUUGCCUCUGAUCCUGCCUGGCAUGGCCCUACUGAUAUGCAUCCCUUCCCAGCUCUGGGGUCAUGUUGGUAGCUUGGAAAUGACCACAACAGAAGUAUUUACACCGUGGGAACUGGGGGAUACCACCUAUCAGGCUUUUAUUUCCCAGAAAGUUCGUUGUCAAACAUUUACCAGCACACCCUUGCCCUGAUCCCUCCAUGCAGCACUGCACAGUCAAAGACAGAGGUUGGUUUGGUGCAACUGGGAGUGGGGUUGCCUCACCCACUGCUGGGUCUCACAACCAAAUUAGGAAUGGAAUAUUAACUCUUCUUAUUCAUAAA
Long non-coding RNA from Leopardus geoffroyi (Geoffroy's cat), 814 nucleotides. RefSeq lists it as uncharacterized. The record is from RefSeq and is a predicted model, not a curated record. The transcript is spliced from 3 exons. Lineage: Eukaryota; Metazoa; Chordata; Mammalia; Carnivora; Felidae.